RNAcentral lists this ribosomal RNA (1336 nucleotides) under uncultured phototrophic eukaryote. RNAcentral describes it as "bacterial LSU rRNA". It matches the Rfam family "Bacterial large subunit ribosomal RNA", at positions 871 to 2305 of the family's 2925-position model. The record is from RNAcentral.
UUAGGUAGUGCGUUGAAUAAAUAGAUGUUUAGAGGUAGAGCACUAAAUGGGCUAGGGGGAAGAGAUUCUUACCAAACCUAAUAAAACUCCGAAUGCUAGACAUUGUUCUUCAACAGACAGACUGUGGGUGCUAAGGUCCAUGGUCGAGAGGGAAAGAGCCCAGACCACCAGAUAAGGUCCCCAAAUYAUGAUUAAGUGUGAAAGGAUGUGGAAAUUCCUUAACAGCCGGGAGGUUGGCUUAGAAGCAGCCAUCCUUUAAAGAUAGCGUAACAGCUCACCGGUCUAAUAGAGUUUCUGCGCCGAAGAUGUAACGGGGCUAAAAUCAUAUACCGAAUCUGUGGGUUUAUAAAAUUUUCGAAWWUUAUAAGCGGUAGCGGAACGUUCUGUAAGCCUGUGAAGGGAUACCCGUGAGGGAUCCUGGAGGUAUCAGAAGUGCGAAUGCUGACAUAAGUAACGAUAAAAGAAGUGAAAAACUUCUUCGCCGAAAAUCCAAGGGUUUCUGCGCAAGGUUAAUCCGCGCAGAGUUAGUCGGCACCUAAGGCGAGGGCGAAAGCCGUAGUCGAUGGAAAUAAGGUUAAUAUUCCUUAACCAGAUGGUAGUGACGGAUCUUGUAAGUUGUGAGUUCUUAAUGGAUUGAGCUUGCCGCGAAAAGGUUCCAAGAAAUAGCUCCAUCAUUAGACCGUACCCUAAACCGACACAGGUGGAUUAAUAGAGUAUAUUUAGGCGCUUGAGAGAAUGAUNGUUGAAGGAACUNCGGCAAAAUGCUUCCGUAACUUCGGRAUAAGGAAGACCUGUUUUUAGGCAACUAGAGAUGGGUGGCACAAGCCAGGGAGAAGCGACUGUUUAUCAAAAACACAGGGCUCUGCUAACACGUAAGUGGAUGUAUAGGGUCUGACGCCUGCCCGGUGCUGGAAGGUUAAUGCGGUUGGUGCAAGCUAACUUCUGAAGCCCCAGUAAACGGCGGCCGUAACUAUAACGGUCCUAAGGUAGCGAAAUUCCUUGUCGGGUAAGUUCCGACCUGCAUGAAUGGCGUAACGAUUUCUCCGCUGUCUCCAACAUCAACUCAGUGAAAUUGAAUUCUCCGUGAAGAUGCGGAGUUCGCGUAGUUAGACGGAAAGACCCCGUGCACCUUUACUGCAACUUUACAUUGGUAUUAGGAAAAACAUAUUUAGUAUAGGAGGGAGACAUUGAAGCAAAGGCGUCAGCCUUUGUGGAGUCACCAGUGAAAUACCUCUUUUGUUUUUCUUGGUAUCUAACUGAUUGCCGUCAUCCGGCAUCAAGACAUUGUAUGGUGGGUAGUUUGACUGGGGCGGUCGCCUCCCAAAUAGUAACGGAG